This is a long non-coding RNA of Papaver somniferum (opium poppy), 498 nucleotides long. RefSeq lists it as uncharacterized. The record is from RefSeq and is a predicted model, not a curated record. Lineage: Eukaryota; Viridiplantae; Streptophyta; Magnoliopsida; Ranunculales; Papaveraceae. The transcript has 4 exons.
UUCGACCUUUUUCUAGGUUUCAUCGACUGCUUUCUUGGAGAGAACCCAACACUCUCUCUCUCUCAGAAACAAAUCCUUAGACAAAUUUCCAGAAUCAAAACCUAGAAAUCUCACAAUGAAAACACAAAUUGAAACCUAAAUUUCAGUAAUCACAACAUAGAAAUCUCGAUCUAUUCUCAAAACCUAGAAAUCUUGAUCAUCAGAACCUUAAAAAAAUUUUAAACCUAGAAUGCAAAAUCAGUUUUGUUACUGAAAUCUGAAAUCAAUUCAUCUUUGAUUAUCAUCAGGUGAAUCUAUUACAGCUGAGAACGAAACAAGGGAAGGAGAGUACUACGUCUGGCACGAGUUUCGUAGAGUAAAAUUGUUGUUCUAAGGACUUGAAAGGUAUCGACGUAUCGUGCACGAAACCUGUUCAUCACAGAGAGGGAAGCAAUUGCAGGUGGUGAAUUGGAUUGUGGAGCUGAGUAGAGUCAGCUAGGAGAUGUUGCUGCCGCUGCU